GCCCAGCUUGGUAUUGGGUUGUCGCCCUUCUCCCCCGGGAGAAUGGUGCCCCCGAAAUGUAGCGGCGGUGCGGCCGGGCUCCCUAGCGCAGUGACUUUUACAAUUCUCGCUACAAGGAGCCCGCGACCCGUCCCGGCCGGAUAACCCCCAAUUUUAUCACGAUUGACCUCGGAUCAGGUAGGGAUACCCGCUGAACUUAA
Molecule: unclassified non-coding RNA, 200 nt
Filed under: soil metagenome
Description: partial contains internal transcribed spacer 2 and large subunit ribosomal RNA
Source: RNAcentral